RNAcentral lists this transfer RNA (67 nucleotides) under Marmota monax (woodchuck). RNAcentral describes it as "tRNA.Ala". Lineage: Eukaryota; Metazoa; Chordata; Mammalia; Rodentia; Sciuridae. The record is from RNAcentral.
GGUCAUGGCUCAGUGGUGGAGUGCUCGCCUAGCAUGUGUGAGACUCUGGGUUCGAUUCUCAGCACCA